GGCCUCCCCCUUUUAUUUGUUCAUUCUAAAGAUAAGCAUAUGUCUAUUCCAUUUAUUUGUUAUUCGUUAAAUAAGUUUGAAAUUUAAAAACAAAAUUAUCAAGAAAACUUUAAUUUGUAUCAUAUAAUCCUUUACUAUUAAACGUUAAAAGUUGUUUAAAAUAAACAAAUUAUAAGCCAUACCAAACCUUUAAAUCCUUAAGAUAC
RNAcentral lists this long non-coding RNA (206 nucleotides) under Mytilus galloprovincialis (Mediterranean mussel). The record is from RNAcentral. Lineage: Eukaryota; Metazoa; Mollusca; Bivalvia; Mytilida; Mytilidae.